ACGGUUCAGUUCCCUUCUUGAGCUGUUUCUCACUCUACAGCCCACUGAGUUCAAACAAUGGCCUUGUCCCUGUGGCCCUCCUCUGACAGCCCUCUGACUACUGCAUUCCAUAGCCGGCUGGCCUGCGUCCAAACCCCUGGAGGACACGUGAGAAGUCCCUGUGAUCAGCGGGCAGAACGCCUGGAGGCUGACAGUGGCUCGCCCUUUCUAGGGAACUGACCGGGCCCUUCAAGAGGCCUUUCAUUCCCAAGGGAUGCCAGAGGGAGAAAGGACCUUGGAGCGCAGAGAAUUCAGCUUCUGUAGUUUGCAGAUCAGGGCCUAAUUUAAUACCUGGGACAAUUGCUGGUGAUGCUGUGAUGACUGGAGGAAGAGCCUUGAACUUGAACAGCUAGAAGCCCCAUGGGGGAAAGAAAUGGGGAAAAGAGCCAGGAUGCAGCUCAUUCAUGGGUGGUCAAAGACACUAAGAAAACUGAGGCCCAGAGUGGGAAGCUGUUUUCAUGCUUCCAUCAAGCUUCGGCGAAAUUCCUGAGGACAUAGCAGUAGAGCUGGGACAAGAUCCAGGACUCCUGUCUGCGGGGCAGGCAGCUGGAGAGACUCAGUGGGGGAAGGAACGGAAGCACUAAGAACUCAGUGCAUCAGAUAGUGACCGAGCACAUAGGUGCUCUCGGAACCAAAGAGCUAGCACUACGUGGUAGGAUACUCUCGGACGAGGCCAGGCAGUGGCAGCAAGCACAGGAAGCUGUCAGCCCCGAGAUGAUGGAGAAUUUCUUGAGGACAGGAUCAAGGACUCAUGCCUGCGGUCCCCCAUAACUAGAUUGAUGCUGAAUGGUCCUCAGCACAUGGUUGUUGAUUGAUUACAACCUUACAUCAAUGGUAUGGAGCAAUUUACAUAAUGAAAUGCGCUGCACACUAGAAUCUGCUUCUCUCUGGCUCUGAUUUCUACUUGCAGGAAGACCAAUUUUCUCAAACUUACAUAUAGCCAGAUUCUUGACAACAAUCUGGCAUUCAGGAACAAAGGGCUGUUUUGGGUGAUUUUCCCCCCCUUCAGUUUCUCACAGUCUCUGAGCCAGAAUUCUAAAGAAAACAGCUAAAAUCUCCAAGGAAGCGUGAACUCCACUCCAGGAGCCUUGGAGGUGGGCAGCAUCAACAGAGCUUCCGUUUCACCAACGAAGAGCCAUCUGUUCUCCUGGAAUUGUUCUUAGACUGUUUGCUAUUGCAUGCUUUAAAUUCCACUUCUUCUGUCUUUUCUAGUAGUAAACCAGGAACCCUAUUUAUAUCUGGCUCCCUGUGCUGGGUUAAAGCAUGGCUUUUCCAGUGGAAGAGGGGAGCUUGAUUCUAUUCACACUAUAACAAAUGUCAGCAAAUUCCAGUCCCGUCCUUGAGCACUGCUCAGAUGACCAGAUAUACUGAGGCAGGGCCAGGGCAGCCCUGCUACCCCAGGGCUUGCUUUGCUUCUGCUCUUGGAAUAGAACACUGGGAGGGUUCAAAAUGGGAGCAUGACAGUGAAUUGGAAUAGUAGUGUGUGUAAGUCUUCAGUUGUUUUCUUGGUUGUGAUCUGAGUUUUUAAGAAUGGAUUCCUAGAAAGGAUUUCUACAUUCAAGAUAACAGCCUGCCUCACUUCAUGGUUUUCACAUUUUAAACUAGGUUAUUGUUUAUCCUUUAUCUGUGGCACUUAGGCAAAAUUAUCAUUUUUAUGUAGACCUUAUGUGUUAGUAUUUGUUUUGGCUGGGUGUGCCAUUGAACUGUCUAUUUUUGAACCACAUUUGAUGCUAAUGAGUUACGUGAUCAUUUUCACACAUUAUUUGUGGGACUAUAAUCGGUAUAACUUCUCAGGGAAAGCAAUUUUUCCAAUAGAUUUCAAACCUGAGGAAACAUGGCCUGGUAAUUCCCUGUGUAGGAAUCUAUGCUAAAGAAAUAAUAAGAAAUGCUAAAUACUUAGGUGCUAAUUUGUUCAUUACAGCAUUAUUUAUAAUGAAGAGUUGCAUAUAACAUCUGGAAAUUAGGAUUUUUAUGGGUUGCUAUGUACAAUAAAAAUUUUCUUUACAAGUAAAUUUUCAAGACAUUGAUAAAGGUGAUGAUGCAAUCAGUGGCAGGCCAGUAAAGUUUAACCACCAGAAAAAUGAAACCCCCCUGCUUUGUAUGUCUGCCAAUGUCUGCGGUGUGAUUUCAGGCCAACAGGGUGAUGCCACUGAAUGCUGAGUUAGAAAAAGACGCGCCUUGGCGGUGUGAACAAGAACAAGGCAGCUCCAGCAUAUUACUAAAUCCGUUAUGUGACAAGGAUAGGGUGUCAGAGGACUUGUACAGUAGGAAGGCAACAAUGGGAAUGAUCAUUGAGAGAGGCUGGAAGAAAAUUACCAGUGGUUACCUCUUGGCACUGAAAUUUUUUUUUGUCUUUGUAUCCCUCCCCCCACCCUUUUUUUUUAAAGAAAAACUUGUGGUAAGAAUGCAACGUGAGUUCUCCUGUCUUAAUAGAUUUUUAUGCUGAAGGACACUGUGCUGCUGUCUGUAGACACAGGCCGUGCAGCAGACAUCUUGCAUAAAUGAAACUUCACACAUGUUGAACAGCAACGCCCUGCUUCCGCCUCUUCUCAGCCCUUCACAACCACCAUGCUAUUCUUUGUUUCUGUGAAUGUGAGUACUUUAAAUGCUUCCUAUAAGCAAGCCCAUGUAGUCUUUGUCCUUUUGCACCUGGUAUAUUUCACUUAACAUCAUGUCCUCCAAAUACCAUAUGUUCUCCCUGAUCGGUGACAACUGACUGAACACCAAAAAGGAAACCUCCUGAAGUGAAAUGGACACUAUGAGAAAUGGUGACUUGAUCAGCAUAGCCCUGACUGCUAAUGGACAACUUAAUACAUUAUCCCUCAUAGUAUUUUUUUUUGUCUGUUCUACUUAAUAUGACUGGUUUAAUUCUGUAAUUAUCACACAGUUAUUCUUAAGUGUUGAAAAUUAACUGAAAUGUGAUCCCUGUUAAACAUAAGAGUGGGAAUAAGAGAGGGAAGAGAUGAAUAAUUUGGGGCAUGCUCGGGCUGACUUGCCCCAAUUGGUAGAGUUGGAAACAUACCAGGGGAUUCCAAUUCAAUCCCAUCAAGGUGGCAUGUGCCAAUGCCAUCUCACUACUCCAAGUGAUCAAUUUCAGUUCACAAUUGAUCAUAAUGAAAGGACUAAGAGUCAAAGGGAGCACAUAAACAAGUCUAGUAUCUGCUAACACCAACCGAUAGAAUAAAUAAAGGGGAGAGUGAUCCAACAUGGGAAGUGAGAUACUCAGCAGACUCAUAGAAUGGCGGAUGUCCUAAAUAGCACUCUGGCCUCAGAAUCAGCCCUAAAGGCACUCAGAUCUGGCUGAAAAGCCCAUGAGAGUAUUUCAGGCAUGGAAAGCCAAGACACUCUGGCAAAAAGAUCUCUGUGAGUGAGAUCCCAGUGGAAAGAACAGGUCUUCAAAGAGGGAGGUGCCUUUCUCUGAAGGGAGGAGAGAACCUCCACUUUGACUAUGACCGUGUCUAAACAAGAUAAGAGUCGGAGAACUCAAGGGGCUUCCAUAGCCUUGGAAACUCAUAACUGGUGCAUAGGGAGAUUACUGAUGCCAUAAACAGGAGUGUCAAUUGGUAAAGUCAACAACAGGAGUCACUGUGCACUUACUCCUCAUGUAGGAUCUCUGUCCUUAACGUGCUGUACACUGAGGCUUAAUGCUAUUAACGAGUACUCAAACAGUAUAUUUCACUUUGUGUUUCUAUGGGGGUGCAAACGACUGAAAUCUUUACUUAAUGUACACUAAACUGAUCUUCUGUAAAAAAAAAAAAAAAAAGAAAGAAAGAAAGAAAUUAUCAAUUCCCAACUUGACUCUCACUGGGAUUAAACAUGACAAUAGGUCUGAUCUGAUUUCAUCAUCAUUUAAAAAAAAUCAUCUAUUAUUUUUCACUUUAUGUUUCUGUGUGGGAGCAAACUGUUGAAAUACUUACUUAAGGUAUACUAAGCUGAUCUUCUGUAUAUUAAGAUAAUCGAAAAUGAAUCUUGAUGUGAA
Non-coding RNA from Oryctolagus cuniculus (rabbit), 4018 nucleotides. NCBI's taxonomy places the organism in Eukaryota, Metazoa, Chordata, Mammalia, Lagomorpha, Leporidae. The record is from RefSeq and is a predicted model, not a curated record.